AUAAAAAAAUACACGAGAGGACCGUGUGUUCUACACAUGAAUUUGCGCAUGUUGUCAAAGCAAAUCAAUAUCACGUGUAAAACAUAUGACAUCGCUCAUUCGAAACUCUGCAUUUGUUUAUAAACAAACCACACGGUAUUAACGUGUAAAACAAAUAGAAUUCUGUUGCUUGACUUGUCAGAGUCACUUGUUUGAUAUGUGAUAUCGAAAGAAAUGCUGAACCACACCAACCAGCAUUAACGAACUGAGGCCGAAGAGUUUAUUCUAGGACAGAUCGCCAGGAAAUUCAAAGGAUUGCUGCCGGAAAACGUGAUCGGUUCGGUGCUGAUGCCUACCAAUAAUAGGAAGCCGCCAUGAAGUACGUACGUCGCAAAGGAUAUUCCGAGGGACCGAUACUGAGGAUUCGUCGUUGUUUUUAUGAAAAACAAAUGCCGCAGCAGUGGGAAGAAAACAUGCAAUAAAUAAGAAAAUGCACCAAGUUAGUAUGCUCCGAUUAGCUUCAACACCAACGAGGAGCCACAGCAGGUCAGGUCAGUUUUCCCAGAGCAAAAAAUUCAAUUUUGAAAUAUUUAUAU
This is a long non-coding RNA of Armigeres subalbatus, 575 nucleotides long. RefSeq lists it as uncharacterized. The record is from RefSeq and is a predicted model, not a curated record. Lineage: Eukaryota; Metazoa; Arthropoda; Insecta; Diptera; Culicidae. The transcript is spliced from 3 exons.